CCAAAAAUCCCGGGACGCCUAGGGGUCGGGCUUUCUGGAGUUCCCUGUUGACGCGAUUCCUGCCUUUGGAGCGUGUGCAGAUUUAGGAGUCUGCCUCUUCCCAAAGGCGUUGCUAAAUUGAAUUUGAAGAAUGCGGAAGAGAAUCCCAGCGGAGAAUGAGAGCCAACCCGGCGGGCUUCCUGAGCGUGGCCGGGGUAGUCCUGAGAUUUUAACUCUAACUCAAGGAGUGACUUUGGCCAGCUGAUCCAGCCUGUCAGAGCUGGAUGGAGCCUCAGUUGGGUACCUGACAAGAAAUGGGCUGCUUCUCCAUUUAAAUGGAACACUAACACUAUGGACACCAGCCAGUGGGGCCCCUGCAGUCAGGUCUCUUCCAUGGAAGCCCUGAUCUGCGUAAUCACUGAAUAAAAACCAGGAAGACUUCCGGGGUUCAGAGGGUGACUCCAUGUUACCCAGGCCCUAAAUGAUGGGAUCUUCAAGACAAAGCUCUGCCAAGGGGUGUCCAACUUUUUGGCGUCUCUGGGCCACACUGGAAGAAGUUUUCUUAGGCCGCACAUUAAUUACAUUGCAAAAUGUAAUCACAAAAACAUCUCAUGUUUUAAGUAAAUUUACAGUUUUGUGUUGGGCUGCAUUCACAGCCAUCCUGAGCUGCACGCAGCCCGGGGGCCACAGGUUGGACACUCCUGUAUGAAGAGAACAAGCCAAAAGAACCUAAGUUCCCAGCUACUCCAAAAGGUCCACAGCUGGCUGUUGACACCACUAAUGCCCAAUGCAUCAAGUGGAUCAAGGCCAGGUGUGAGAAGAAACGAAGUCAGGUAGACAGGGUCUGCUGCACCUCUUCCCCCCAAUUCCACUCAAUGAAAACAGUUCUCUAAUACUGCCUUUUCCUAGUUUUCUUCCCAUCUCUCUGACUACAUUUUGUACCUUGCAUCAGAGUUGCCUAUCAUUCUAAGUCCUAAUUCCACUUUUUUUAGUAUGUCUGGAGUCUGCAUAUUUUCACCUUCACUUGAUGUAAAAAAUUGAAGUUGCACAUGCUCUUUUAUCCAGUAAUUCUGCUUACAGGUAUGUUUCUUUCCUGGGCAAACUCUCUCAUUUGUGCAUACUGGUACACAUUACGGGUACGUACGGAGCAGGACUGAGUAUGAUGGUAAAAGGAGGAACCAUAUAAAAUUCUAAGAACUACUGUUCAUUUAUAAAAUAGAAUGCUCUACAGCAGUGUUUUUUUUCUCUUUAUUAACUUUAUUUAAGUGCCACUAGUGAACAAAGUUAUACAGGUUUCAGGUACACAAUUGUGCAGUACAUCAUCUGUACACUGUAUUAUGUAUUCACCAUUCCACGUUUAUACCAGAAGUUUCCAAACUUCUGGUCUUUUGAUCUCUUUGCACUCUUAGAAAUUACAGUAUUUGUCCUACCAAAAGUUAAAGUAAUUUUUUGAAAAUUUGUCAUUUUAAAAAGAUGUAAUUACAUGUCUACAUUUUUAUUUUAAAAAAAUGUAUUUCCCAGCCCUGGCUGGUGUAG
Long non-coding RNA from Artibeus jamaicensis (Jamaican fruit-eating bat), 1515 nucleotides. RefSeq lists it as uncharacterized. The transcript is spliced from 2 exons. NCBI's taxonomy places the organism in Eukaryota, Metazoa, Chordata, Mammalia, Chiroptera, Phyllostomidae. The record is from RefSeq and is a predicted model, not a curated record.